AUUGAACGCUGGCGGCAGGCUUAACACAUGCAAGUCGAACGAUUGGCGGACGGGUGAGUAAUGCUUGGGAAUCUAGCUUAUGGAGGGUGAUAACUACGGGAAACUGUAGCUAAUACCGCGUACCAUAGGAUGAGCCCAAGUGGGAUGAGGUAGUUGGUGAGGUAAAGGCUCACCAAGCCGACGAUCUCUAUCUGGUCUGCGAGGAUGACCAGCCACACUGUGACUGAGACAUGGCCCAGACUCCUACGAGAGGCAGAAGUGGGGAAUAUUGCGAAAUGGGGGCAAAAUGACGCAGCCAUGCCGCGUGAAUGAAGAAGGCCUUCGGGUUGUAAAGUUCUUUCGGUAGCGAGGCGUUAACUACAGAAGAAGAACCGGCUAACUCCGUGCCAGCAGCCGCGGUAAUUC
Molecule: ribosomal RNA, 405 nt
Filed under: uncultured bacterium
Lineage: Bacteria
Description: partial 16S ribosomal RNA
Rfam family: Bacterial small subunit ribosomal RNA
Source: RNAcentral